UACGGAGGGUGCGAGCGUUGUCCGGAAUCAUUGGGCGUAAAGAGCUCGUAGGCGGUUUGUUGCGUCGGCUGUGAAAUCCCGAGGCUCAACCUCGGGUCUGCAGUCGAUACGAGCAAACUAGAGUGUUGCAGGGGAGACUGGAAUUCCUGGUGUAGCGGUGAAAUGCGCAGAUAUCAGGAGGAACACCGGUGGCGAAGGCGGGACUCUGGGCCGAUACUGACGCUGAGGAGCGAAAGCGUGGGGGAGC
RNAcentral lists this ribosomal RNA (247 nucleotides) under uncultured bacterium. RNAcentral describes it as "partial 16S ribosomal RNA". It matches the Rfam family "Bacterial small subunit ribosomal RNA", at positions 524 to 769 of the family's 1533-position model. The record is from RNAcentral.